AUUGAACGCUGGCGGCAGGCCUAACACAUGCAAGUCGAACGGUAACAGGGAUCAGCUUGCUGAUUCGCUGACGAGUGGCGGACGGGUGAGUAAUGUCUGGGAAACUGCCUGAUGGAGGGGGAUAACUACUGGAAACGGUAGCUAAUACCGCAUAACGUCGCAAGACCAAAGAGGGGGACCUUCAGGCCUCUUGCCAUCGGAUGUGCCCAGAUGGGAUUAGCUAGUAGGUGGGGUAACGGCUCACCUAGGCGACGAUCCCUAGCUGGUCUGAGAGGAUGACCAGCCACACUGGAACUGAGACACGGUCCAGACUCCUACGGGAGGCAGCAGUGGGGAAUAUUGCACAAUGGGCGCAAGCCUGAUGCAGCCAUGCCGCGUGUAUGAAGAAGGCCUUCGGGUUGUAAAGUACUUUCAGCGGGGAGGAAGGGAGUAAAGUUAAUACCUUUGCUCAUUGACGUUACCCGCAGAAGAAGCACCGGCUAACUCCGUG
This 490-nucleotide ribosomal RNA is filed under the name uncultured bacterium. RNAcentral describes it as "partial 16S ribosomal RNA". It matches the Rfam family "Bacterial small subunit ribosomal RNA", at positions 30 to 507 of the family's 1533-position model. The record is from RNAcentral.